CAUGAAGCUGGAUUCGCUAGUAAUCGCGCAUCAGCCACGGCGCGGUGAAUAACGUUCCCGGGCCUUGUACACACCGCCCGUCAAGCCAUGGAAGCCGGGAGUGCCUGAAGUACGCGACCGCAAGGAGCGUCCUAAGGUAAAACCGGUGACUGGGGCUAAGUCGUAACAAGGUACC
This 175-nucleotide ribosomal RNA is filed under the name uncultured bacterium. RNAcentral's name for it is "partial 16S ribosomal RNA". It matches the Rfam family "Bacterial small subunit ribosomal RNA", at positions 1319 to 1500 of the family's 1533-position model. The record is from RNAcentral.